Molecule: ribosomal RNA, 301 nt
Filed under: uncultured bacterium
Lineage: Bacteria
Description: partial 16S ribosomal RNA
Rfam family: Bacterial small subunit ribosomal RNA
Source: RNAcentral
CAGUAGCCGCGGGAAUACGUAGGUGGCAAGCGUUGUCCGGAAUUAUUGGGCGUAAAGGGCUCGCAGGCGGUUUCUUAAGUCUGAUGUGAAAGCCCCCGGCUCAACCGGGGAGGGUCAUUGGAGACUGGGAAACUUGAGUGCAGAAGAGGAGAGUGGAAUUCCAUGUGUAGCGGUGAAAUGCGUAGAGAUGUGGAGGAACACCAGUGGCGAAGGCGACUCUCUGGUCUGUAACUGACGCUGAGGAGCGAAAGCGUGGGGAGCGAACAGGAUUAGAUACCCCAGUAGUCCCUGUCUCUUAUAC